UCUGUAGUUACUUCAGUUAAACAAGACACACAUUUUGACAUAAUUCUAAAUCUGAGAUUCUCCAAGGGAUUUGUGAAACAUAAUUGAUGUGAGAUAUUGUAGAAAUAAGUUCAGCACUAUUUUUAUCAGUCAUCAAAUUGACAGUUGUUAGUAAUGACUCUCGUCAUAAAUGUUGCAUGCUGCUCACAACUCGUAGCACACCUGUGAAGCCAAUUAAAAACAAUCUAAACUAGUGUUUGUGACAGAGCAUAACCACAACAACCUUUGAACUUUGGUCUUGGUGUUCAGAAACAUUGUGCACACCUGACAGCACCAAAUAUUGGUAUCAAAAUGAAGUGAACUGGAUGUAAGGGGAACUGUCAGACCCUGCAAAUGAGGCCUCAUACUUACCACCACAGUGUGAAGAACUUCAAGCGAGGCAUACUGCUACUCUUCUGGGAGAUGUUCUCACAAAAAACAUUCAUCAGGAACUUUAGGGGAGGCACUGGAAACACAGAACAUUUUGUCACUGUCAUUCUUAGAGGAAUGCAGAGUAUGUGAUAAACAUUCUGUUGAGAGUUUGAAAUCCUCCAAAGAAAAAGUAUGUGAAAUUGCAAGUGAGAUAAAAUGAAAAUCAGUUGGAUCCCUCGACUUUUCCUUGAUGAAAAUGCCAAUCUGCAUCUAGGAUGUGGAUUUCUACUGGACACCAUUAACGUCUUUGGUGUUCCUUGGUGAUGAUGUUGAAGUACUGAACAGACUGAGACCACAAAGAUGAUGUGGCACAUGCUGCAGUUGAAUCUGUGUGAUCUCUUCCUGAAGUGUGUGCGUUUAACAUAUAGCUUCCACAAUGUCUCCAUUGAAAGCUGAUCUUCAUCUACAAGUGACUGAUCUCCACUGGGCACUGUAUACGCAUUUAGUAUUUUUUUGUUGGAGAAGAUAGUUCUUGUAUCCCGCCAUCUGGAGAUCUGCAUCAAAACAAGACAGCUUGAUCACAACCUUGAAGAUACUUCAAGUCCAGGUGUUUACUUCAGGGAGAGACAUCGGAAAGUACACUCCUGUAAAACCUCACCAUACUAAAAUAGUACUUUUGCAAAUGGAGAUUCCAAACAAAGCCAGUAAAAUGGAGGGAACUGGUUCCAUCGCUAUAAUAAAGAGGCACACAGGAACUUACAAGUGUAAUUUCAAAGGGCCAAAGUUUCCCAUAACUGUGUCCCUAAAUACCUAUGUGACAUGGCCAGUCAGACACUAUCAUUCAAAUAGGACUGCACAAACUGUGAAAGAAGCUUGGCUCGAUAGUAAAUCUACCCCACAAAAUAGCAAAAACACAGCUGAGAAGGAAAUACAGAGACACUACAUAGUGGUACAAUUUCACUUGUUCUCAGCUUCUGAUAUUGUGCCCAAGCAUGGGAAAACUAGUGCCCAAGCAGCUUAGAUAGAUAUACAUCUUAAUGAGGCAAUGACGACUAUCACUGGCACUGUUGGAUCUACUCCUAUUCAGUGGUUGCUUGAUCUAUCCAAUAUUGCCCUUCCAUAUCUGAGAAUAAAAGGUAGUAGGGUGCAGAAUUGUCAAAAAGAAAGUCACAUAAAAAUUAAAAUCUAUAUAGCCCUUUCCAGAUUCCACCAGCAGUAUACGCCUGGAGUCAUAAAAGCCACCUUUGAUCACAUUCUGUGUCAGUCAUUUUAGAUGACUGAAAGAGGAAAGAACUCUAUGAAUAUCCAUCCCAGAAUGUCCAACUAAUUCAAAACCCAUUGGAAAAAGUUGCAAUGUUUGAUCUGUCCCAUAAUGAAUGAUGAAGACUCGGCCACACCCAAACAGGACGAGAGAUGCGGGCACAUCUGGAAGAAGUGGGGUUAUUAUGAAAGUGCUGUGUGUGAGUGUAGUGUGGAGGAAUAGACACAGACAUUGUCCUUCGGUUCACACUUCUAAAGUCGGUCUGAAAGACUUCCAUGAAGUGACACUCAGUGCUUUGAUAUGCUUGUCUAAUUUAAACAUUAACAUGUAAAUUCACUGUGUAUUUACAUGUUUAUUUUCUGUUGUGCCAGGACAUGAUGAUUCAACCAUGUGCACCCAUAUGUUGCAACUUGUGCACACUACAAGCAACAAUUAAAUGUGCAUCAUUAGUAUUUUGAAUGCACAGGAUACUAGCUGCAUUUCUUAAGCGUGUUUGACUACACUCCAAAUUUUUCUGGUGUUCAUCAUAUAACAGCAGCUCAUGCCACCAUGGUAAAUCACAGAGUCACUGAAUGCUACUGUACUGUCUAUGAAAUGACAUAAGGUAGUGUCUGCUCUUGAAGCAGCCAACUGUAGGAUAUACAGUACAGAAUGAAUGACAUGGAGUAGCACCUUGCACGAGGAAGCUACAUUCUGAUGUUUAACAAACAAGUGAAAGAGAUGUGAAUGACUUUCACAAUAUAAGUAUUGGAUAUAAAGCUUUACCAAUAGCUGGGUGUACAUGAUGUACACUUCCUCAGUGGCAUUUAAUCUUCAUGUAUCGAAGACUUGCUUGUGGUAUGCAGGUGUCAGAUGUAGAGCAAACUGUGAAGAGGGAAAUAGUUGUCAAUCAAUACAUAUGGAUUCAGAAUGUCACAACUUCUGUCAAGUGCACUGAAUUUUGUUAGAAAAAAGCUUAAUGUGCAUUUACAUGUUUGAAAUUCCAUAUCAGUAAACUCUUGAAAACCCUAUCUUACAUAAACUUUUCUCAAUUCAGAAUUUGUACAUCAGCAGCUGUGCUCAGUGGUACCCAGACUUCAGAUAAAAUAUUCUGUAAUAAAAUGAAUGAAAUCAUCUGUAGAGGAGACAUAGACAAGGGAACAAAAUUUUUUUUCCUCAAUACAUCAGCAGCUUGAUGAUCUUGUUUCUGUUUUGACAUAUGUUUUUGUUAUUUAAAUGUGCAACUUUGUUUGCUCCCACACCAGUGUUCAAAGAAUUUUUUUUUUUUUUUUACUGUGUGAAAGAGUGUUUUAUUUAACGUAAAUUUUGAAGCAAGCAACAUUCUGUGUUUGGUUGCAAAAAUACUGCUCAAGCAGUGACUUACUAUUUGCUUUUAUCAUAGCUGAUGUGGUCAUGUAAUAAGGUUCUGUGUGCGUAAGAGUGAGGAGUGAUGUUAAGAAAUGUUUUCUAAUUGUGAUUGUUGAACAAAUCAUUAAUUUUCAGUGAUGUUUGCGUAAUAAAUGAUACAUAUGAGUAUCCAGUGUAAAUCACCUGUAAGAUAGAUAUACAUUAUCAUGAUGGCUAAGAUUCUGUAGUAUACAAGCUAAAAAUAAAUUUUCUUUUUAGGUGAUCAGAAUAACUGAUAAUUAUAAAAGAAGAAUUAAUUCUUCUGUGAUGCCUAAACUUUUUUCUGUUUUCUUGUUGCUUUUUUCCAAUUUGCAUUUCCAAUUUUCUGUCUCAAACAACAAGUAUUUUGCAAGGUCACCCUCCCCUACUUACCAUGAAGCAAAGUCCAGUGGAAUGUGUAAUCUAUAGGUAAUUAAUUGUAAAUAUAUUAUUAUAAGGUGAAUCUGAAAAGUUUGGUAAAUGGUCCCAUGUGUUAAAAACUGCCCUCAUUAGUAUGAGACACCCUCAAAUAAUCACUGAGAGACAUGUCAAGUACUUCAUACCUGUAAAAAUGAAGCAGUGGUGCACACUGUGACUAAGUUAAUAGUCAGUGUUAGAACUUGUGCCAUUUCAGAAUUGAGCAACACAUGAUCUUGAAGUUUUACUUCAAAUUAGGGGAAACUGUGAUAGAGACUCAUGUUAGUGCAAGUGUAUGGCACUGAAGCAGUGAAUAAAAGUGUGUGUGUGUGUGUGUGUGUGUGUGUGUGUAGGCAACAUCAAAUGAGUGCAACAGAUGCUUACAGAUGUGCAGCAGCUGUUCUUCUGGCAGAAGAGUUGAAGAUAAUCAAAGACAGGGUAAGCACUAUUGUUCGCGUCAUUUGAAAAGGCAGAAGAUUUAUGCCCAGUUUGUACUGCAGGUACUGACAGACAGACAAACUAAAGUGGAAACAUCUGGAGAUUUAAUGGACAUAUCUGACCAGAAUACACAGGUUUUGGAAACCAUCAUUACAACAAUGAAAUGUGGUGCUACCAAUCGAUGUGGAGACUGACCAACAGUCAGUGGCAUUGUGUUCAUUGUCUUCUCCACCUCGCAAAAAACAGUUGGCUGACGAAAUCCAAGAUAAAAAUGAUAGUGAAAGUCUUUUUUGACAGCAAGGGCUUGGUGCAUCAUGUUUUUAUACUUGAGGAUCAAACUGUUAAUGCGGAAUUUUACAAGGGAGUUGUGAAAUGGCUGCUGCAAUGCAUCUACAAGGUUUGAACAGAACUGCAGUGGAGUGGACAGUAAAAUUUCUUCCAUGACAAUGCCCGUCCACACACUGUGAUCAGUGUGCUCAGCUUUGUCACUUCAACACAGGUGACAGUUCCUCAGCAACCUCCUUAUUUUCCAGUUUUGGUGCCAGCAGACUUACUUUUGUUUCCCUGCCUUAAAGCAGCCAUGAAAAGCUUCAGGCUUGCAGGCUUCACAGAUAUCCAACAACACAUGACUAUUAUGCUUAGUUUGAUUCCACAAGAAGUGUUUGCUGACAUUUUCCAAGAGCUAUACUACCAAUGUCAGAAGUGUGUUGCAGCUAAUGGUGAUCACUUUGAAGUGCAGUAACUCUUGUUUUCUUUAUUUUCUGAGCCCAUUUACGAAAUUUUCCAGAUGCACUGAUUAAAUUGUUAUUUGCAAACCAAAACAUAGAGCGCACAAGUGAUUUCUAUCAAUGUGUGUUCAUGAUUAUAAUGGCCUUUAGCUUACAGGUGUGUUAAUGCUAGCGGUACUUCUGUUCUUCCUCAUUUCAGGAAAGCAAAUUUCGUAACUCACUGUGUAGUUCACAGCUGUGAAGUACACCAAUGUGUGCUUGUUUUAACACAUUUAAAUAUUUUGAGAGAUUUUUGUUGUAAUAAACUAUGAUCACACCAAUAUGACGCAAUACUGUUAGUAGUUAUUUAUAUGUAACGUGUUUCACAGGUCUUGUUUAAGCACUAACAUCAUUUCAUUACUAUUACUUAUGUUGACUGUUCAAAACAAAGUUGAAAAUAAGUUACAUAUUGUGCUUCUAUAUCCAGAAUGUAUGUUCAGGGUCUUUAAAGUUUGCCACAUACCUUACUUUGCACUUUAAUUUGUUAACAGAAUGAUGUGAGAAGUAAUUAUGGACUGUUUACAGUCGAAUUAGCAUGUUUCAAUUAUGUUAAAAAGAAACCAGAAGAUGUCCACAGAUAUAAUAAGCCUAUGUUGAAUUGUUAACCAUGGUAGCUAAUGUUGUUGUGACAUGUUGGACCAGAGAUAAUAAUAAAAUAUUGUAAACACCUA
Schistocerca cancellata (South American locust) is the source of this 5309-nucleotide long non-coding RNA. RefSeq lists it as uncharacterized. Lineage: Eukaryota; Metazoa; Arthropoda; Insecta; Orthoptera; Acrididae. The transcript has 2 exons. The record is from RefSeq and is a predicted model, not a curated record.